CGCCAUGCACUGGAAACCACGAGCGUCAAACCGCUCGUCAAUGUCACACUUGGCCCAGGCAACCAAUCAAAUAAAGCAAGAGCAUCGCUGCGGCCAAAGGAGCUGUUCACCAUGGCAACAGGAGAGACCGAGGGGGGGGAGUGAGCCGACGGCUGUCUGAAAAUAUACAGCGUGUGUACGUGUUGCAAAAAAUACCAGCAGUGUUACAAACUGAAGCUUGAAGACGUGUGUGGGGAGAAAGAUGGAGAACGACAGGCAGCACAAGAGCCACAGGUCGGAUUCGAACCCCGGGCUGCUGCAGCGAGGACUGAGCCUUCGUACACGGGGCGGAUGUUCUACCGACUGAGCUAAAC
Long non-coding RNA from Larimichthys crocea (large yellow croaker), 353 nucleotides. RefSeq lists it as uncharacterized. The record is from RefSeq and is a predicted model, not a curated record. The transcript is spliced from 3 exons. NCBI's taxonomy places the organism in Eukaryota, Metazoa, Chordata, Actinopteri, Sciaenidae.